Molecule: ribosomal RNA, 443 nt
Filed under: uncultured bacterium
Lineage: Bacteria
Description: partial 16S ribosomal RNA
Rfam family: Bacterial small subunit ribosomal RNA
Source: RNAcentral
CCUACGGUGAGCUGCAGUGGGGAAUAUUGGACAAUGGGGGGAACCCUGAUCCAGCGACGCCGCGUGAGUGAAGAAGUAGUUCGGUAUGUAAAGCUCGAUCAGAAGGGAAGUAAGAAAGGACGGUACUUGAUUAAGAAGACUCGGCUAACUACGUGCCAGAAGACGCGGUAAUACGUAGGGGGCAAGCGUUAUCCGGAUUUACUGGGUGUAAAGGGAGCGUAGACGGCGAUGCAAGUCUGAAGUGAAAGGCGGGGGCCCAACCCACAGACUGCUUUGGAAACUGUCUGGCUGGAGUGCAGGGGAGGUAAGUGGAAUUCGUAGUGUAGCGGUGAAAUGCUUAGAUAUUAGGAAGAACGCCAGUGGCGAAGGCGGCUUACUGGACUGUCACUGACGUUGAGGCUCGAAAGCGUGGGGAGCAAACAGGAUUAGAUACCCCAGUAGUC